UGAAGGUAUCGAGCUGAAUGGUGGACUGGCUGUAGGUUAGCCUUCGUGCUGUGGAGGCUGAAGAUUGAUCUUCUUUUGUAAUUGUAGUUAACGAUAAUCGCAAUACUAGACCAGACGGCUCCACGGCAGUUGUGAUGCUAAGCAGACAAUACACGGUACUCGCAGUUCUAAACCCAACAAUUUCAUGAGUUUACUCAAGACCUGCUUGGAUUCUCCACACAUAGGAGAGAAGAUCUGGCUCCAGACUCCACUUGACGUCAAAGAUGAGGAUUCCACCGUAGCAAGUUUCGUUCUCUCUAUACACGGUUGCUGAUCGCCCAACGCACAUAAACGCACGAGUGUUUGGUGCCUUAUUUUCUAAUAUCGCCGAUAAUCAGCACAGCACCUUCAACCGAUAAGCCAAGAACGAAGAAUCCCAGGAAGUGCAGUUCGACGGAGCCAA
RNAcentral lists this long non-coding RNA (442 nucleotides) under Physcomitrium patens. RNAcentral's name for it is "long non-coding RNA (PPAT_LNC012608)". Lineage: Eukaryota; Viridiplantae; Streptophyta; Bryopsida; Funariales; Funariaceae. The record is from RNAcentral.